This 274-nucleotide ribosomal RNA is filed under the name uncultured bacterium. RNAcentral describes it as "partial 16S ribosomal RNA". It matches the Rfam family "Bacterial small subunit ribosomal RNA", at positions 84 to 354 of the family's 1533-position model. The record is from RNAcentral.
CCCGCCGGCGACCGGCGCACGGGUGAGUAACACGUAUGAAACCUGCCCGUAGCAGGGGGAUAAGCGGAAGAAAUUCCGUCUAAUACCGCGUAACAACCCAUGAAGGCAUCUCUGUGGGUUUAAAGGAAGCGAUUCCGGCUACGGAUGGUCAUGCGUCGCAUUAGCUUGUUGGCGGGGUAACGGCCCACCAAGGCGACGAUGCGUAGGGGUUCUGAGAGGAAGGUCCCCCACACUGGUACUGAGACACGGACCAGACUCCUACGGGAGGCAGCAG